AACGAACGCUGGCGGCAUGCCUAACACAUGCAAGUCGAACGAUACCUUCGGGUCUUGUGGCGCAGGCGUACGUUCAGCUUGGGAACCUGCCCUUCGGUUCGGUAUCACUCCCCGAACCUAGUGCUAAUACCGGGUUAUCUCCGCGAAACAAAGAUUUAUAGCCUUUGGAUGGGCCCGCGUUGCAUUCGCUAGUUGGUAGGGUAAAAGCCUGCCAAGGGGACGAUCCAUAGCUGGUCUGAGAGGAUGAUCAGCCACACUGGAACUGAGACACGGCCCAGACUCCUACGGGAGGCAGCAGUGGGGAAUAUUGGACAAUGGGCGAAAGCCUGAUCCAGCAAUGCCGCGUGAGUGAUGAAGGCAUUAGGGUUGUAAAGCUCUUUUACCCGGGAUGAUAAUGACAGUACCGGGAGAAUAAGCUCCGGCUAACUCCGUG
This 433-nucleotide ribosomal RNA is filed under the name uncultured bacterium. Its description in RNAcentral is "partial 16S ribosomal RNA". It matches the Rfam family "Bacterial small subunit ribosomal RNA", at positions 29 to 507 of the family's 1533-position model. The record is from RNAcentral.